Molecule: ribosomal RNA, 511 nt
Filed under: Placozoa sp. ME-2010
Lineage: Eukaryota; Metazoa; Placozoa
Description: partial 16S ribosomal RNA
Rfam family: Bacterial large subunit ribosomal RNA
Source: RNAcentral
CGAGAAGACCCCAUUGAGCUUUACUAUUAACUUGUAUUGUCAGAGCAAAGGGGAGGGGGACCCUACGGGUCUAGGGAAUACCCCGGAUCCGUUUUGCCCCCUGUCCCUAGCUUCAUAAUAAAAUUGUGGAGACUAUGUGGCAAAAGAAAAACAAGGGAUUUAAAAGAACGGGGGGGGGGAGGACCCUUAGGGGUCCCCCCCCCGGGACCCGAAGGGUCCGCCACGCCCCGUCCCGAUUUAUAUGAAAAACCACUCUUUUUAUUAAGAUUACUGUCUAACACCGUACAAGUAAGAUAGUUUGGUUGGGGCGACCGCCUUCGAAAAAGUAUCGAAGGCGCACAUAAGAUUAAUCAGGAGAAGGAUCCGAAGGAUCUUUUUCUCGGGAGUAAUGUCCCAAAAAAGGAGAUUAAUUUGACUGAGAGGGCAACAACCCGAACAGACGUCAAAGGAUAGACCGGGGGGGGAAUCCUACAGAUUCCUUCCCCCCCUUCUUUUGGCGGGUCAUAGUGAU